Molecule: small RNA, 581 nt
Filed under: Pan troglodytes (chimpanzee)
Lineage: Eukaryota; Metazoa; Chordata; Mammalia; Primates; Hominidae
Description: retained intron
Source: RNAcentral
UGAUCCAAUCCCAUCCCGAGUCAGCAGAAGACCUGCAGGAAAAGUGCACAGAGUUAAACCAGGCCUGGAGCAGCCUGGGGAAACGUGCAGAUCAGCGCAAGGCAAAGUUGGGUGACUCCCACGACCUGCAGCGCUUCCUUAGCGAUUUCCGGGACCUCAUGUCUUGGAUCAAUGGAAUACGGGGGUUGGUGUCCUCAGAUGAGCUAGCCAAGGAUGUCACCGGAGCUGAGGCGUUGCUGGAGCGACACCAGGAACACCGGACAGAAAUCGAUGCCAGGGCUGGCACUUUCCAGGCAUUUGAGCAGUUUGGACAGCAGCUGUUGGCUCACGGACACUAUGCCAGCCCUGAGAUCAAGCAGAAACUUGAUAUUCUUGACCAGGAGCGUGCAGACCUGGAGAAGGCCUGGGUUCAGCGCAGGAUGAUGCUGGAUCAGUGCCUUGAACUGCAGGUAUGUGUGCUCCUGGUUUCUGACCAAGUGUUUCCUUGCUGAAGGGCCUCAUUUUCUCACCUGCCUCUUGCCGUCUUUAGCUGUUCCAUCGGGACUGUGAGCAAGCUGAGAACUGGAUGGCUGCCCGGGAGG